AGUGAACACUGGCGGUAGGCCUAACACAUGCAAGUCGAACGGCAGCACAGUAAGAGCUUGCUCUUACGGGUGGCGAGUGGCGGACGGGUGAGGAAUACAUCGGAAUCUACUUUUUCGUGGGGGAUAACGUAGGGAAACUUACGCUAAUGCCGCAUACGACCUACGGGUGAAAGCAGGGGAUCUUCGGACCUUGCGCGAUUGAAUGAGCCGAUGUCGGAUUAGCUAGUUGGCGGGGUAAAGGCCCACCAAGGCGACGAUCCGUAGCUGGUCUGAGAGGAUGAUCAGCCACACUGGAACUGAGACACGGUCCAGACUCCUACGGGAGGCAGCAGUGGGGAAUAUUGGACAAUGGGCGCAAGCCUGAUCCAGCCAUACCGCGUGGGUGAAGAAGGCCUUCGGGUUGUAAAGCCCUUUUGUUGGGAAAGAAAAGCAGCAGGUUAAUACCCCGCUGUUCUGACGGUACCCAAAGAAUAAGCACCGGCUAACUUCGUG
This 492-nucleotide ribosomal RNA is filed under the name uncultured bacterium. RNAcentral's name for it is "partial 16S ribosomal RNA". It matches the Rfam family "Bacterial small subunit ribosomal RNA", at positions 29 to 507 of the family's 1533-position model. The record is from RNAcentral.